UUCCGAUUCGGGCAAAAUUCCACUUGGUGCCCCCAACACCCCCAAAGCUUGAAAGCCCAAGCCCUCCUUCCCCCAAAAUCUACAAUCUCUCGCCCUUCGACCGCCUCAAUUCCUCUCUCACACACCCACACACUCUCUCCUUCUCUCUCGUUGGCUCGCUGGAAUUGUGAAUGCAGAGCCCUGUCUUCCGAUGACCUAGUACCCCCGGCGCCGGAGCAUCCACCGGCCGUCGACAACGGGCGACGAUUCCAAUUCCGAGUCUCUGGGACUUGUAUAGGGUUUUCGUAGCUGCUUGUGCGAUUCGAUUGCGACGAUUCAAUUAGGGUUUUUGCUUUUGUUUUCUAAGAUUGCGGCGCCCACGCCAUGGCUCCGGGGCGUAGACGCGGAGCGAACAAGGCCAAGGAUAAGAGCCAGUUGAGUCUCGGCGAUCUUGUUCUUGCUAAGGUCAAGGGCUUCCCCUAUUGGCCCGCCAAGAUUAGCAGGCCUGAAGAUUGGAAGAAGGUCCCUGAUCCGAAGAAAUAUUUUGUCCAAUUUUUUGGAACGGAAGAGAUAUCACAGAAAGGUGAAAUUGACAAUUUUUUUGGAACGGAAGAGAUAGCUUUUGUUGCCCCUGCAGAUAUUCAGGCAUUCACUAGUGAGGCAAAAAGCAAAUUAUUAGGUCGUUGUCAUGCUAAAACUAAGAAUUUUUCCCAAGCUGUGAAGGACAUAUGUCAGGCAUUUGAUGAGUUACAAAAAAAGAAAUCAAAUGAUUUGAGAGUUGAUACUGAUAGAUCAGACCCCGGAUGUGAUGCUCCGUCUGGUGAUGGCGUAGAAGAUAAUGGGAUUGAUGUUGACUUAAGGGAUGGGGAGGGUGUACGGGAUUCCAAUGGACAAACAGACAAAGAAGAAGCCUCGGGUGAUAUUUGUCCUAAGCUGGAACGUUGUUCACAGUUACAAGGUGAAAAUGACAAUGAUGUUGUAAAUCCAUCUACCUUGUGUGGAGCAGAAGAGAGUUCUCCUGUUUUUUCUCCUGAGAGAAAAAAUAAAAUGGUGGCAGUUCCACCGCCUAAAAAAGAGGUAUUAAAGAAAUCUAAGCCAGAGAAGGAAGAAGUUUCUGGUAGUAAGCAUGAAGAAGAUGAUCGCACUAAGAAACACAGUGAUGGACAGAGGUCUGUAGCAAAUGGCCACAAGUUGUCAAAGAUGGUUACUGGAUCAAAGAGGAAACAUGAUGGCACAAUUGAGGAACAAAAAAAUCGUUCUGCUGUAACAUCAUCGAAGGAUGAUAGCUCUGUUGGUCUUGUUGAUCAGCCACAAUCUGGUGAGCGAUUGAAAGAUGGAGCAAAAGGCAAACUUGGCUCUGGUGGCAGGAAGAGGGAGUUCUCCCCAGAUGCUCAAAAAUCAGAUACUGGUACUAAGGUUGGGAAAAAGACAAAAGACCUGGUUAAAGCCAAUAAGCAAGUCAAGGUGCCAGAUGAUGUGAUGGAUGAUCCUGAGGAACAGGCCAGAGACAAACAUUCAGGAAGGACAAAGGGGUCUCAACCAGGGCUUGGAAAGCCUAAUUUGGUAACAAAUGGUCCUUCACUUCCUACCAAAAAGUCAAAACAUGUAGAUGCAGGGGAUAGUGGCCCAAAGGGUUCAGUAUCUAAAAUUGUGAAGAGUCUAUCUCCUAGUUCUGAUGUUGAUGACAAGACAUUAAAAAAAUUGGAUUCAAAUUUGUCAAAUUCACGUGUGAAAAGAGAGAACCAUCUAGUUUCCAGGUCCAAAAAUGUUAUUGGACCCAGUGGUCCUGGUGAUGAAGCUGUGCUACCCCUUACAAAGAGGCGCCGUCGAGCAUUGGAGGCUAUGUCUGAUUCUGAUGCUUUGGUCUCUGACGAUAAGAAGAAUGAUAUGUCAUGCUCAACUGAUGUCAGAGUUCCUACGCAGAGAAAACGGAGAGCUGUGUGCCUCUAUGAUGAUGAGGAGGAGGAGGAAAAACCCAAAACACCAGUUCAUGGAGGAUCUUCCCGAAAUACUAAAGCGCCUUCAUACUCUUCAGACGCUGUAAAGAGCACGAAUGAAUAUCAUGAGAGGUCAGAUACUGCUCAACAGAGUACCAAAUGUCCUACUGAAUUUCAAAUGGGCCGCACAAAGGAAUCAUCUUCCCAGUUAAAUGAUGGUUUUAUGUCACCUAGAAAACCUCACGUGGAUGAGGUGAGGCCGGAAAGGAAACCUCAAAUUGACAAAAAGAGUCUUGAAAAGGCAGCGCAUGUAUAUCACAGUCCAAAAAAAUCAGAACUUGGGCAGUUGCUGAAGGAGGAGAAACCAACUGUGAUUUCUCCUAAGAAGUCUCCCCAGUUAAUUUCUACCACUAAAUCAGUUGUGGAACAGCAGAAACCCACAAAAUCUAUUGUUAAAGUCUCUAGUACCGGUACUCAAAAGAAGGCUCAGGCUUUGUGUAGCAAGGGUUCAGGUUUAGUGUCUAACAGUUCGGUUUCUUCUCAUAAUCAGGCAAGAAACAAGCCUGCAUCUUCUGGAGAAAAGUCUAAACCUACUCCACGAUCAAUCUCUCAGAUCAACGACCCCGCUAUCUUAACAGAAAAUGCAACCGAGUACAUUUUAUUUUCUGGUGAAAGAAUGGAAGUUGGCAGAGAAGAUAAAAUUGGCUUAUCCAUGGAUUCUAGAACUCCAGAAUCAUCUCAGUCUAUGAGGCAUCUUAUUGCAGUCGCACAAGCAAAAAGGAAACAAGCUCAGUCGCAAAAUUUCUUUCUUGGAUUUUCCAAUCCAACUCUUGUAUCUAACUCAGAUAUGCAAGGGAGGAGCCCCAGCCCUUCUGCAGUUCAGGGGUUUUUUUCCAUUACCAACAGUACGUUGCAGGCAGAUAUCCCGGGAUCCAAUCAACUCACAAAUGUAGUUUCCCCGGCUGCUCAUGGUCGACAGUAUGUAUCACAAGUUCAACUUGAUUUAGAGGAAAUUUCAGAGAGAAGAGUUAGUUCUGGGCAUCGAACUGCUGGAGGAUCGCUUAGUGGUGGUACCGAGGCAGCUGUUGCUCGUGAUUCUUUUGAGGGAAUGAUUGAAACUUUGUCUAGGACUAAAGAAAGUAUUAGUCGUGCAACUCGUCUUGCCAUUGAUUGUGCCAAGUAUGGUAUUGCCAAUGAGGUUGUGGAACUACUAAUCCGGAAGUUGGAGAGCGAGCCUAGUGUCCAUCGUAAGGUUGAUCUUUUCUUUCUUGUGGAUUCCAUCACACAAAUCUCUCAUAAUCAAAAAGGCAUUGCGGGAGCUUCAUAUGUUCCGAUGGUUCAAGCAGCAUUGCCACGUCUUCUAGGUGCUGCCGCUCCACCUGGUUCUGGUGCUCGUGAUAAUCGUCGUCAAUGUCUUAAGGUUUUACGGCUGUGGAUAGAGAGAAAAAUCUUUCCUGAAUCUGUUCUUCGUCCUUACAUGGAUGACAUUGGAGUUUCAAAUGAUGAUUCAACUGCUGGUUACUCCUUUAGACGUCCAUCUCGAGCUGAGCGUGCCAUAGAUGAUCCAAUCAGAGAAAUGGAAGGAAUGUUUGUGGAUGAGUAUGGAAGUAAUGCUACAUUUCAGCUGCCUGGACUUCUGUCUUCUCAUGCGUUUGAAGAUGACGAUGAAGAAGAAGAAGAAGAACUUCCUAGCUGUUCAUAUAAGGAGACUAGCCAUCCCUCACCAAUGGAAACUACCCAUGCUUCUGGGGAGUCAGAAUCAUGUGUGGUGACUCCUAAUGAUAGGCGACAUUGCAUCUUGGAGGAUGUAGAUGGUGAACUUGAAAUGGAGGAUGUUUCUGGACACCCAAAGGAAGAAAGACCCUUGUUUAUUAAUGGUUCUUUUGAAAUGGAUCCACAACAGCAGGGAUCAGAUAGGGUCAUGGAGCCAGCUUCAAUUGCUUGCACUGAUUUGCCCCCUCUUCCAGAGGGUUCUCCACCAUUGCCUCUUGAUUCUCCUCCUGCACCCCCACCUUUGCCUCCCUCACCUCCACCACCCCCACCACCACCUCCGUUAUCUCCAUCACCACCACCACCACCACCUCCCCCAUCACAGCCACCUCCUCCCCUACCAUCUUCUGGUCAUCAACCAUUGUUGAUUCCCCAGUCAUCUAUACCAACACAGGCUUCAUUACUACCGCAACAGAUGCUGCCUCUGCAAUCAUCAAUGCAUCCUUCACCGCAGGUGGCAUAUCAACCUCCUAUACCUCAUGAAUACUGCAGCACAAGUGGUAACCAGCAUGUUCAAGUUUCUGGAAAUGCUCCUCAUGUUGGCCCUAUUGAUGCGACUGCCAAGAAGGAGAUGUUUCCGCAGCAGCAAGCUUGCUUUGUUCCUGCUGGAGUAUGUGGUCCUCGAGAACCUUCUGGAUUUAAUUCGACAAGGCCGCUAGAACAUGGACAUAAUGACCUGUUUCUAAGUGCACAAAUCUCUCAACCAAGCCAACCAUUUCAACAAGUUAAUACACCUUUCCCUCAAAGGCCUUUACCUCCUGCCCCACCACAAAAUCCGUCAAGUCAUUUCUCCUAUACUAAGCAACAUCCUCAGCAGCAUCCUCAACAACAUCCUCAGCAGCAUCCUCAACAACAUCCUCAGCAUCCUCAGCAGCAUCCUCAGCAACCAUACCACGGUUCAUACUCUUUGCCUCCCCCACCUGAUAGUCAAAGAAGAUUUGUUGCCGAUGAACAACGUGGUGUUUGGAUGAAUGGAGGAAGACCCCCACAUCCGGGACCACCAUUUGUCCAUGAAGGUUAUUUUCGCCCACCGCCUGAUAGGCCACAACCUAAUAAUAUUGCUUUUCAGCGUCCUGCCCCUAAUAAUGUUCCAACUGGAGCUCCAAUAUCAGGUCACAGUGCUUCCCAGAUCUUGCCAUGUAGACCAGACAUAUCUGCUGUUAAUUGUUGGAGACCAGCUUAGUAGUGAACCUUAGCUCUACAUAACUAUUCUUCAUUGACAGUGGCAUAUCAAUUAGUUACGUCAAAUUAUGCUGUGCUUGAAAGUUGGAUUCAUCUUGUUUGCAAAACCCAAGUACCACUUGAAGGCACUAUUGAGAACUUGUGGAGGCUCUUGGCAGGACUCUGUAUAUUGUAAUUUUUCCUGACAAAUGUAUCCUGAGAACAUUUGCUUCCAAGUGUAUGCCCACGUUUCUUUCUUGGUUUCGGAAAAAGAUUAAAACAGAAGCAGCAACCUCUGUUUUGGAGGGUUUAUUAUCUGGUCGCUCACAGAGGAAAGGGAAUCCACUUGGUAGCAGAUACACUGCUGUAAAACAUUCAGGUAAAUAUUUGACAUGGAUUUUUGGACCAGAAAAGGCUUGUAAUUAUUUAUUAGUUGAGUACAGUUUUGAUGCAACGGUAUCUGUUGCAGUGUAAAGGUAGUUCAUGCAGAUGCUUCAUAACUGUUGAAAGUUGUAUUUGACAGUUCCCUUCCCUUUCUUUUCAAUCAGUCGUUAUACAUUGCUUUCUAGCCACUGAUUUUUCUUUUAGUCUGUAAAGAUCCUAGUUUUCUUUCUUAGGGAUAGAAUUGGGUUUGAUUAUGUCCUUGUUGCUGUACCGUAGUACACCGGAGCAUUACAAAAUGAAAAGCGGUUCUCUGAAUGCACCAUUA
RNA transcript from Pyrus x bretschneideri (Chinese white pear), 5556 nucleotides. It is a transcript of the gene named ENHANCER OF AG-4 protein 2, with no coding region annotated. The transcript is spliced from 14 exons. The record is from RefSeq and is a predicted model, not a curated record. Lineage: Eukaryota; Viridiplantae; Streptophyta; Magnoliopsida; Rosales; Rosaceae.